AUGGCGCUCGCAUCGGGCUCGGGCGGCGGCGGCGGGAGCGACUUCUCCGUGAUGGUGAUAGGCUCCGACUUCGCGGUGGACGCCGGCGCGGCGCUCCUCGCCUCCCCCGCCGACCGCGAGGAGUGGCACGACUGCGCCCCCGACCUCGGCGACGACUUCUCCGACCUCGAGGAGCUCCAGGUGGUCCGCGUGCAGGGCGCGGACAGAUCCGGCCGGCCCGUCGUCCGGGUCGUCGGCAAGUUCUUCCCCGCUCCUGUUAUAGAUGGUGGACGUCUGAAGAGGGGGAUUUAUGAAGAACUUCCAGCUGAAUACAAGGAAAGGCUGCAAAUAUUCUACUUCCUGCAUCCUGGGCUUUAUUCCUGGCUCGCCAUGGCCACACUAGGCAGGCUCUUCUUAAGCGGAGGGUUGUAUUGGAAAAUCAAGUAUGUUAGUCGGCUGGAGUAUCUAUGGGGGGACAUCAAAAAGGGUGAAGUUGAGAUUCCAGAUUUUGUUACUGAACAUGACAAGAUCCUUGAGCACCGACCAUUGACAGACUAUGGUAUAGAACCUGAUCCUCUGCAUCUCGCUGAUAUACCUGCUGCGGGGUACUCACUUGGUAGGUAUGAAGACAAAUGGUCUCCUGAAGAUCGCUGGAAUUCUCGCAAUUACAUGUGA
Molecule: ribosomal RNA, 654 nt
Filed under: Triticum aestivum (bread wheat)
Lineage: Eukaryota; Viridiplantae; Streptophyta; Magnoliopsida; Poales; Poaceae
Description: partial small subunit ribosomal RNA
Source: RNAcentral